This is a long non-coding RNA of Bolinopsis microptera, 628 nucleotides long. RefSeq lists it as uncharacterized. The record is from RefSeq and is a predicted model, not a curated record. The transcript is spliced from 4 exons. NCBI's taxonomy places the organism in Eukaryota, Metazoa, Ctenophora, Tentaculata, Lobata, Bolinopsidae.
CUUCAACUCCCCAAAGACCUGUCAACCAGCACUAUACAAAAAGGGAAGCUCGCCUGCUGCUGGCUGCCUUUCGCCUUCUGCAUUCACCUGUCUCCUAUCAUGGCCCGGGGUCUUGUUCUGCUGUGUCCGUUCUCUCUCCACAUGUUACUCAUUUCUAUUAUAGAUUCCUCGCACUACUAGUACUACCUGUUCCCGAUAGAUCCUUCCAGAAUUAGGCUAUGGAGUUCCUUUCCUGAGGCAAUAUGACGGUGAUACCCACCCCACUUGCUCUGCCUGUCCUCACCUAAGCUCCACCAGUCGUAUUGCUUCAUUGAUUCCCCCCUCCUUCCUCGAGAACCGUUCGUCACUAUGUUAGAUCCUCGAGAUGACCAUGCAAGAUGGUUCAGUUCUAGUUGACAUUCCACUAUAUGAAAAGACCAGAUCGCCACUUUAUAUUCUUAUUCCUUGAGAGAGAGAGAGAGAACCGGAACAGCGACCUCGUGAAUCAUCCUAUUUAAUCGCUUCACCCUCGCCACAUUCGCUACUACUUCAAUUAUUGGGGUAAAUGGACAUUAAGACUAAGUUAUGAGAUAUGAGAGUUAAAUUAAUAUUGUAGUCCUAUUUAACCCAAUUAUUUUACAACCCUUUA